Molecule: ribosomal RNA, 563 nt
Filed under: uncultured Lamproderma sp.
Lineage: Eukaryota; Evosea; Eumycetozoa; Stemonitida
Description: bacterial SSU rRNA
Rfam family: Eukaryotic small subunit ribosomal RNA
Source: RNAcentral
UAUGCUUCUCCUAAAGACUAAGCCAUGCAUGCCUUCGAAUACGAGGAAGCAAUUCUCUCUGAAUCUGCGAACGGCUCCGCAAACCAGUUGUAAACUAUAGCAAGCUAGCUUGGGUUCGCCUUCGGGUGGGCUCAGGCAAUAAGGAUAACCCUGGUAAUUCUGAGGCUAAUACAAGAGCUUACAUCCCUGGUCGACCGGCUUGUCUGGAAGGCUGGGGUACGUGCGAUUGUGGCUUGGUUUUUCCAGGAAAGGGCGCACGUUCAGACCACCCAUAAAGGAAGGUCCUCACGGGCUGACUGGUGGCUCUUGCUGUGUGCUUCUGACCUAUCAACUAGACGGCAGCGUAAGGGACAUGCUAUGGUGACAACGGGUACAGAGGAUUAGGGUUCGAUCCUGGAGAGUGGGCCUGAGAGAUUGCUCAUACUUCUAAGGAAGGCAGCAGGCGCGCAACGUUCCCCUUGGGCAAUGCCCGAGGGCGUUAGGGGACAUAUGAAUGCCUGCCCAUCGGGUGGGCAAUUCAAAUGGGUCUGUUCUAAACAGGCUCUCGAGUAACAAUUAGAGGA